Molecule: RNase P RNA, 372 nt
Filed under: Victivallales bacterium
Lineage: Bacteria; Pseudomonadati; Lentisphaerota; Lentisphaeria; Victivallales
Description: RNase P RNA component class A
Rfam family: Bacterial RNase P class A
About the family: Ribonuclease P (RNase P) is a ubiquitous endoribonuclease, found in archaea, bacteria and eukarya as well as chloroplasts and mitochondria. Its best characterised activity is the generation of mature 5'-ends of tRNAs by cleaving the 5'-leader elements of precursor-tRNAs. Cellular RNase Ps are ribonucleoproteins.
Source: RNAcentral
GAUUGGCGACGGACGGCCGCUCUCUUCGGAGGGAGGAAAGUCCGGACACCACAGGGCGGGAAGUCCGUUUGAAAAGACGGAGGGCGCGGACGACAUUCCGCGUCUAGGAAAGUGCCACAGAAAACAAACCGCCGGCCGCAAGGCCGGUAAGGGUGAAAUGGCGGGGUAAGAGCCCACCGCGCUGUCGGGUAACCGCAGUGGCAGGGUAAACCCCUUCCGGUGCAAGACCAAAUAGGGAACGAAGGUGCGGCUCGUACCGCGCUGUCCGAAAGGAUGGCUGAAGUUCCGGGUAUCGGUCGCUUAGAUGAAUGGUCGUACAGCCUUGGCAUAUGCCAAGGCGGACAGAAUCCGGCUUAUAGUCGUCAAUCGCUU